GAGAGGGAGCCAGGGCUGCUAGCACAUUGUCACCUCUCGCUGGGAUUACAGUAAAGUUCUGUGACAACAGAAAACGUGUGACAAAAAUGCCAGAAUUAUUAUAGUCUCCCUUUAGUUCCUGAAUAUCAUUAAGAAAGAAAAUUAAUCUGUUACUAUUACAAGAGUUCCAGGGCUAUGAAUAACUAUUCUCUGAAAAAAUAAUAUCAUAGUGAAUUUACUUCAUUUCCCUAAAACAUCUAAGUAUAUAGUAAAAAGUGAGAGUAUUCUCUCCACACAAAGGCUUUCAAGCAACCGCAGGAGAAAAUGUCCUGUGUAGGAAUAAUGAAUAUUAAUCUAAAAUAAUUUUUUCUAAUAUAUGGUUUAAUUCCA
RNAcentral lists this long non-coding RNA (369 nucleotides) under Pongo abelii (Sumatran orangutan). RNAcentral describes it as "lincRNA". The record is from RNAcentral. Lineage: Eukaryota; Metazoa; Chordata; Mammalia; Primates; Hominidae.